This 300-nucleotide long non-coding RNA is filed under the name Pan troglodytes (chimpanzee). Its description in RNAcentral is "long non-coding RNA NONPTRT003672". Lineage: Eukaryota; Metazoa; Chordata; Mammalia; Primates; Hominidae. The record is from RNAcentral.
UUGUCCAAGUGACAAAACCAGGUUUUAAAUUCUGGGCUGUUUGAUUCAACACUCUUAGACCACUUUGCUCUACAGCCCCAAUUAUUGGCCUCCAAGCCCUCUCCAGCUCUAAAGAUUGCACAGUUCUUGGGUAUAAACCCAUCCUUUGCACUGCUUCCGGAAAAUCCUCUUGUAAACGUUAUUCUUCCAUAUGUCAGCCUUGGCAGCCCCAGGCAGGGUCAGGGGACAGCCAGGCCAGAGAAGUUGAGUUUCACUAGCCAUAAAUCCUCUGUCUCCGACAUGCCCCUUAACUGCUUAUCU